GACCAGACUCCUACGGGAGGCAGCAGUGGGGAAUAUUGCACAAUGGGGGAAACCCUGAUGCAGCAACGCCGCGUGAGUGAAGAAGUAUUUCGGUAUGUAAAGCUCUAUCAGCAGGGAAGAAGAUGACGGUACCUGAUUAAGAAGCCCCGGCUAACUACGUGCCAGCAGCCGCGGUAAUACGUAGGGGGCAAGCGUUAUCCGGAUUCACUGGGUGUAAAGGGAGCGUAGACGGCGACGCAAGUCUGGAGUGAAAGCCCGGGGCCCAACCCCGGGACUGCUCUGGAAACUGUAAAGCUGGAGUGCGGGAGGGGCAGGCGGAAUUCCUGGUGUAGCGGUGAAAUGCGUAGAUAUUAGGAGGAACACCAGUGGCGAAGGCGGCCUGCUGGACUGCAACUGACGUUGAGGCUCGAAGGCGUGGGGAGCAAACAGGAUUAGAUACCCCUGUAA
Molecule: ribosomal RNA, 447 nt
Filed under: uncultured bacterium
Lineage: Bacteria
Description: bacterial SSU rRNA
Rfam family: Bacterial small subunit ribosomal RNA
Source: RNAcentral